CAAUAGCGUAUAUUUAAGUUGUUGCAGUUAAAAAGCUCGUAGUUGGAUUUCGGAUGGGACUUGCCGGUCCGUCGUUUCGAUGUGAACUGGCCAGUCCUAUCUUGUUGUCGGGGACUAGCUCCUGGGCUUCACUGUCCGGGACUAGGAGCUGACGAGGUUACUUUGAGUAAAUUAGAGUGUUCAAAGCAAGCCUACGCUCUGAAUACAUUAGCAUGGAAUAACACGAUAGGACUCUGGCUUAUCUUGUUGGUCUGUGAGACCAGAGUAAUGAUUAAGAGGGACAGUCGGGGGCAUUCGUAUUUCAUUGUCAGAGGUGAAAUUCUUGGAUUUAUGAAAGACGAACUUCUGCGAAAGCAUUUGUCAAGGAUGUUUUCAUUAA
Molecule: ribosomal RNA, 379 nt
Filed under: uncultured eukaryote
Lineage: Eukaryota
Description: partial 18S ribosomal RNA
Rfam family: Eukaryotic small subunit ribosomal RNA
Source: RNAcentral